GUCUAUGAUCAUACCAUCCUGACUGUGCCCGAUCUCUUCUGAUCUUGGAAGCUAAGCAGAGUUGGGCCUGGUUAGUACUUGGAUGGGAGACAUAUUAGGAAUUCCACUUUUUGCUUUCU
This 119-nucleotide ribosomal RNA is filed under the name Peromyscus maniculatus bairdii (prairie deer mouse). The record is from RNAcentral. Lineage: Eukaryota; Metazoa; Chordata; Mammalia; Rodentia; Cricetidae.